GCUCAGAACGAACGCUGGCGGCAUGCCUAACACAUGCAAGUCGAACGAAGGCUUCGGCCUUAGUGGCGCACGGGUGCGUAACGCGUGGGAAUCUGCCCUUAGGUUCGGAAUAACAGCUGGAAACGGCUGCUAAUACCGGAUGAUAUCGCGAGAUCAAAGAUUUAUCGCCUGAGGAUGAGCCCGCGUUGGAUUAGGUAGUUGGUGGGGUAAAGGCCUACCAAGCCGACGAUCCAUAGCUGGUCUGAGAGGAUGAUCAGCCACACUGGGACUGAGACACGGCCCAGACUCCUACGGGAGGCAGCAGUGGGGAAUAUUGGACAAUGGGCGAAAGCCUGAUCCAGCAAUGCCGCGUGAGUGAUGAAGGCCCUAGGGUUGUAAAGCUCUUUUACCCGGGAAGAUA
This 400-nucleotide ribosomal RNA is filed under the name Sphingomonas paucimobilis. Its description in RNAcentral is "bacterial SSU rRNA". It matches the Rfam family "Bacterial small subunit ribosomal RNA", at positions 22 to 450 of the family's 1533-position model. The record is from RNAcentral. Lineage: Bacteria; Pseudomonadati; Pseudomonadota; Alphaproteobacteria; Sphingomonadales; Sphingomonadaceae.